Molecule: long non-coding RNA, 2398 nt
Filed under: Glycine max (soybean)
Lineage: Eukaryota; Viridiplantae; Streptophyta; Magnoliopsida; Fabales; Fabaceae
Description: long non-coding RNA (GMAX_LNC003747)
Source: RNAcentral
UGUGAUUUUCUGGGAAUCAUGAUAUCCCUGUGACAUUUGGGAUAUAGUGAGACAUUUGGGCAUGCUUUGAGUUCAACAUCUCUGAUGAAGGACUUCUUUCUUUGUUAAAGGUAUCAUUGAGGAUGAAUGGUCACAAAUCCAAAAAUAAAUGUAGCAUUCCACAAUCUAAAGGAAGUAAGUGAGCUGUUGUUUCUUCCUCGAACCUCCUUCACCAUACAAAUCAUUCCAGUGCUUCAACUCAUUCAUUACAGAUCCUUCUGAUGCAAAACUUGCAGCCUCUUGCAUUUAAUCAGAUAUCCGUAAGUUCAUGAAUUUACAAAGUUUACCGCAAACCCAACAUCUUUUUUAAAGAGGCAAAAAUACUCAAAUAAAUAAUCACUCAAUUUAUCUUUUUUAUGUUUCAUGCAUCUUAUGUUGGGUUUCUGACUUAUUUGAUGGUGUUUGAAUAACAUGUGAGUAAAUUUUGCUAAUGUUGUGGUAGGUCUCCAACUUUCUUUACUUGGUAACGUUUAUCACAACCAAAAUCUUUUCUGAAAAGGGAGUCAAAAUGUUCAAAUAAAUGAGCAUUCAAUUCUUUUUUUUUUCCUGAAUGAAUAUUACACAUUACUCGAAUCGUUUUAAUGCUUUAAGCGAUUCUCUCUAUUAUAUUUUUUAAAAUUCAAUAUCAUUUCAAGGUUUAACACUUUAACGACUCUUAUUCACACAAUUAAAUACAAAUCAUUCAAAAAAAGAUAAAAUCAACCAACACACAAGUUAUUUUUUACCCAAAGAACUACAUAAGUCUGAUUUUCUCAUUACACAUGAGGAUAUGUAUGAAUAAGGGAAAACCCCUUGUUGACCUAAAACACUAGGAAAAAAAAUAUGAAAUUUCCUCUUUACUAAAAAUAAAAAUUUGUUUUAAUUUUUAAAUUAAACAAAAUAUAGCAAACAUAAUUCAUGUUCUAAAGGGAAGAUAAAUAAUUAAGAAGUCGCUUUUAUUUUUAUUAGACUAAAUUAAAGGUUGUCAUCUUCAUGACGGAUAAGUGAGGUGUUAAUACCUUUCACGUAAAUAAUUUUUGAAUCCUUUUUUUUUCUCAAAUUGUAAAUCAUUUCAUAUUUUUUUUUUGCUUUUUUAACGUUUUCCUUAAAUAAACGUUGAUGACGACUUCUCAAUUUUCUUUUGAAAAACUCACUUGACUGCCACAUUGGGACAAUGACAAUAUUAUUUACAAAAGAAAUAAUAAUAAUAAUAAUGAUAAUAUGUUGUGGAAAACAUAAAUCAUAUUUCUUUUUUUUAAAGAAAAUAAAUUCAUAUUUUUUGUUUUCAGUGUUACUUACAAAAAUGCUACUUUUGAGUCCUAUUCUCAAAAUUUUAAAUAAGAGAGAAAAAUGUUGUAAAAAAGUAUACCAAAAAAGUUAUAAUUUUUUAUUCAAAAAAGAUAAGAUGUUACUUCCAUGUUUGGUUUGGUUUAAAAUAAAAAUUAUGAAACUUAAAAACUGAUUAUCAAAAAAUAACAAUAGGUUUGGGGAGUAGGCUCAUGCAUCGAUCAGUAAUAAAGAAAAAGCCAACACCUAUCAAAUUCUAAUUCAGAAUGUAAACAAAACUAAACCUGGAUUGGAUUAGAAAAAAAAUACUCAAACUAAAGUAAAAUCGUCGUUCAAGUAUAUAGUAUACACAUCUAGAGAAUCAGCACCAAAGUUUCAAGAUACAACCAUUAAGUUAGUUCCGGUUCAAGUUGUCAUUUCAGCAAACACUAUAAUUUUCAAAAGCAAAAACAAUUCUCCCUAAUUACCACCAAGUUUGGUUGGUGACAAAACUUAUAAGUUUGAAUGGUUUAAGACUUAGGAUUUUUUUCUGUGCAAGAUAUCAAGAUCAAUAAAUAUUGUCUGAAUUAUGAAUUAUAUACUAUCACAGAUUUAAUAAUAAAGUAGUCUUAUCAUUCUUAUAAUUAAAAGAAAAAAAUAUGUUAUCUUUUAUUUUUUAUAUAAAAGACCGUACGUAGGUAGUAUAUUAUACAGAACUUACAUAAGCACCACUUUUGUUGACACAGAAUUCCUUCAAAAGAAAUUAUCAAUCAAAAUCAAUGAAGUAAUAGUCUGUAUAUUACGUUAGCAAAAUAUAGACAAAGGUCAAUGUGGGUAUCUUGCGAAUUUUCUAAGUCUUUUUGUUUUGUUCCCAAGUACAAAGUCUAUUUAUGGGUCAUGUCACUUCACAAAAUUUUCCACAUUUGUUGUUUAGCGCAAUGACUGGAAUCUUAAAUUCUAAGUCUUUAUGGUUUUGUUUGGUUCCUACAUAGUCAUAUAAAUGGUCAUGUCACUAUAAAAAAAAUUUCACAUCUAUUAUUUUUGUAGGUAGUGCGAUGACUGGAGUAUUUUCUACGUCUUUCUUUGUUUUGUUCCAAUGGAGUCGUGUAAGGAC